RNAcentral lists this ribosomal RNA (1363 nucleotides) under uncultured bacterium. RNAcentral describes it as "16S ribosomal RNA". It matches the Rfam family "Bacterial small subunit ribosomal RNA", at positions 37 to 1399 of the family's 1533-position model. The record is from RNAcentral.
UGGCGGCGUGCUUAACACAUGCAAGUCGAACGAAGCACCUGGAUUUGAUUCUUCGGAUGAAGAUCCUUGUGACUGAGUGGCGGACGGGUGAGUAACGCGUGGGUAACCUGCCUCAUACAGGGGGAUAACAGUUAGAAAUGACUGCUAAUACCGCAUAAGACCACAGGGUCGCAUGACCUGGUGGGAAAAACUCCGGUGGUAUGAGAUGGACCCGCGUCUGAUUAGGUAGUUGGUGGGGUAACGGCCUACCAAGCCGACGAUCAGUAGCCGACCUGAGAGGGUGACCGGCCACAUUGGGACUGAGACACGGCCCAAACUCCUACGGGAGGCAGCAGUGGGGAAUAUUGCACAAUGGGGGAAACCCUGAUGCAGCGACGCCGCGUGAGCGAAGAAGUAUUUCGGUAUGUAAAGCUCUAUCAGCAGGGAAGAAAAUGACGGUACCUGACUAAGAAGCACCGGCUAAAUACGUGCCAGCAGCCGCGGUAAUACGUAUGGUGCAAGCGUUAUCCGGAUUUACUGGGUGUAAAGGGAGCGUACACGGCUGUGUAAGUCCGAAGUGAAAGCCCGGGGCUCAACCCCGGGACCUGCUUGGAAACUAUGCAGCUAGAGUGUCGCAGAGGUAAGUGGAAUUCCCAGUGUACCGGCGAAAUGCUUACAUAUUGGGAGGAACACCAGUGCCGAAGGCGGCUUACCUGGACGAUGACUGACGUUGAGGCUCGAAAGCGUGGGGAGCAAACAGGAGUAGAUACCCUGGUAGUCCACGCCGUAAACGAUGACUACUAGGUGUCGGGGAGCAAAGCUCUUCGGUGCCGCAGCAAACGCAAUAAGUAGUCCACCUGGGGAGUACGUUCGCAAGAAUGAAACUCAAAGGAAUUGACGGGGACCCGCACAAGCGGUGGAGCAUGUGGUUUAAUUCGAAGCAACGCGAAGAACCUUACCUGCUCUUGACAUCCCGGUGACCGGCAUGUAAUGAUGCCUUUUCUUCGGAACACCGGUGACAGGUGGUGCAUGGUUGUCGUCAGCUCGUGUCGUGAGAUGUUGGGUUAAGUCCCGCAACGAGCGCAACCCUUAUCUUCAGUAGCCAGCAUUUGAGGUGGGCACUCUGGAGAGACUGCCAGGGAUAACCUGGAGGAAGGUGGGGAUGACGUCAAAUCAUCAUGCCCCUUAUGAGCAGGGCUACACACGUGCUACAAUGGCGUAAACAAAGGGAAGCAAACCUGUGAGGGUAAGCAAAUCUCAAAAAUAACGUCUCAGUUCGGAUUGUAGUCUGCAACUCGACUACAUGAAGCUGGAAUCGCUAGUAAUCGCGAAUCAGCAUGUCGCGGUGAAUACGUUCCCGGGUNCAUGUACACACGGCCCGUCA